This 497-nucleotide ribosomal RNA is filed under the name uncultured bacterium. RNAcentral's name for it is "partial 16S ribosomal RNA". It matches the Rfam family "Bacterial small subunit ribosomal RNA", at positions 28 to 507 of the family's 1533-position model. The record is from RNAcentral.
GAUGAACGCUGGCGGCGUGCCUAAUACAUGCAAGUCGAGCGAACGGACGAGAAGCUUUCUUCUCUGAUGUUAGCGGCGGACGGGUGAGUAACACGUGGAUAACCUACCUAUAAGACUGGGAUAACUUCGGGAAACCGGAGCUAAUACCGGAUGAUAUUUUGAACCGCAUGGUUCAAAAGUGAAAGACGGUCUUGCUGUCACUUAUAGAUGGAUCCGCGCUGCAUUAGCUAGUUGGUAAGGUAACGGCUUACCAAGGCAACGAUGCAUAGCCGACCUGAGAGGGUGAUCAGCCACACUGGAACUGAGACACGGUCCAGACUCCUACGGGAGGCAGCAGUAGGGAAUCUUCCGCAAUGGGCGAAAGCCUGACGGAGCAACGCCGCGUGAGUGAUGAAGGUCUUCGGAUCGUAAAACGCUGUUAUUAGGGAAGAACAGAUGUGUAAGUAACUGUGCACAUCUUGACGGUACCUAAACAGAAAGCCACGGCUAACUACGUG